UCCCUGGUGGUCCAGUGGUUACGACUCUGCGCUUCCACCGCAGGGGGGCACAGGUUCGAUCCCUGGUCAGGGAA
This is a non-coding RNA of Lipotes vexillifer (Yangtze River dolphin), 74 nucleotides long. The record is from the annotation of a RefSeq genome assembly. NCBI's taxonomy places the organism in Eukaryota, Metazoa, Chordata, Mammalia, Artiodactyla, Lipotidae.